RNAcentral lists this unclassified non-coding RNA (286 nucleotides) under uncultured fungus. Its description in RNAcentral is "partial contains 5.8S rRNA, ITS2 and 28S rRNA". It matches the Rfam family "Eukaryotic large subunit ribosomal RNA", at positions 668 to 961 of the family's 3401-position model. The record is from RNAcentral. Lineage: Eukaryota; Fungi.
AAGGAGUCUAACACAUAUGCGAGUAUUUGGGUGUUAAACCCAAGAUGCGCAAUGAAAGUAUUAAGGUGGGAUCUUCGGUGCACCAUCGACCGGUCUGGAUAUUUUUAGAAAGAUCUGAGUAAGAGCAUAUUUGUUAGGACCCGAAAGAUGGUGAACUAUGCCUGAAUAGGGCGAAGCCAGAGGAAACUCUGGUGGAGGCUCGUAGGGGUUCUGACGUGCAAAUCGAUCCUCAAAUUUGGGUAUAGGGGCGAAAGACUAAUCGAACUAUCUAGUAGCUGGUUCCUGC